AAUAGAUACCCGGGUAGUCCACGCCGUAAACGAUGAGUGCUAAGUGUUAGGGGGUUUCCGCCCCUUAGUGCUGCAGCUAACGCAUUAAGCACUCCGCCUGGGGAGUACGGUCGCAAGACUGAAACUCAAAGGAAUUGACGGGGGCCCGCACAAGCGGUGGAGCAUGUGGUUUAAUUCGAAGCAACGCGAAGAACCUUACCAGGUCUUGACAUCCCAUUGGCCACUAUGGAGACAUAGUUUUCCCUUCGGGGACAACGGUGACAGGUGGUGCAUGGUUGUCGUCAGCUCGUGUCGUGAGAUGUUGGGUUAAGUCCCGCAACGAGCGCAACCCUUGUUCUUAGUUGCCAUCAUUUAGUUGGGCACUCUAAGGAGACUGCCGGUGACAAACCGGAGGAAGGUGGGGAUGACGUCAAAUCAUCAUGCCCUUUAUGACCUGGGCUACACACGUGCUACAAUGGACGGUACAAACGGUUGCCAACCCGCGAGGGGGAGCUAAUCCGAUAAAACCGUUCUCAGUUCGGAUUGUAGGCUGCAACUCGCCUACAUGAAGCC
This 552-nucleotide ribosomal RNA is filed under the name uncultured bacterium. RNAcentral describes it as "bacterial SSU rRNA". It matches the Rfam family "Bacterial small subunit ribosomal RNA", at positions 777 to 1327 of the family's 1533-position model. The record is from RNAcentral.